AGGGAAUCUUCGGCAAUGGACGGAAGUCUGACCGAGCAACGCCGCGUGAGUGAAGAAGGUUUUCGGACCGUAAAGCUCUGUUGUAAGAGAAGAACGAGUGUGAGAGUGGAAAGUUCACACUGUGACGGUAUCUUACCAGAAAGGGACGGCUAACUACGUGCCAGCAGCCGCGGUAAUACGUAGGUCCCGAGCGUUGUCCGGAUUUAUUGGGCGUAAAGCGAGCGCAGGCGGUUAGAUAAGUCUGAAGUUAAAGGCUGUGGCUUAACCAUAGUACGCUUUGGAAACUGUUUAACUUGAGUGCAAGAGGGGAGAGUGGAAUUCCAUGUGUAGCGGUGAAAUGCGUAGAUAUAUGGAGGAACACCGGUGGCGAAAGCGGCUCUCUGGCUUGUAACUGACGCUGAGGCUCGAAAGCGUGGGGAGCAAACAGGAUUAGAUACCCUGGUAGUCCACGCCGUAAACGAUGAGUGCUAGGUGUUAGACCCUUUCCGGGGUUUAGUGCCGUAGCUAACGCAUUAAGCACUCCGCCUGGGGAGUACGACCGCAAGGUUG
RNAcentral lists this ribosomal RNA (549 nucleotides) under uncultured bacterium. Its description in RNAcentral is "bacterial SSU rRNA". It matches the Rfam family "Bacterial small subunit ribosomal RNA", at positions 356 to 896 of the family's 1533-position model. The record is from RNAcentral.